AAAGGAUUCCCUAGUACGGCGAGUGAGCGGGAAGAGCUCAAAUUUGAAAUCUGGUAGCCUUCGGUUGCCCGAGUUGUAAUCUAGAGAAGUGUUUUCCGCGUUGGCCCAUGUACAAGUCCCUUGGAACAGGGCGUCAUAGAGGGUGAGAAUCCCGUCCUUGACAUGGACCCCCAAUGCUUUGUGAUACACUUUCAACGAGUCGAGUUGUUUGGGAAUGCAGCUCAAAAUGGGUGGUGAAUUCCAUCUAAAGCUAAAUAUUGGCGAGAGACCGAUAGCGAACAAGUACCGUGAGGGAAAGAUGAAAAGCACUUUGGAAAGAGAGUUAAACAGUACGUGAAAUUGUUGAAAGGGAAACGAUUGAAGUCAGUCAUGCUCUUUGGUUUAAGCCGUUCUGCGGUGUAUAUCAUUGAGUGGGGUCAACAUCAGUUUUGACCGCUGGAAAAGGGCAGGAGGAAGGUAGCACCCCCGGGUGAACUUAUAGCCUCUUGUCGUAUACAGUGGUUGGGACUGAGGAACGCAGCAUGCCUUUUGGCCGGGAUUCGUCCACGUACAUGCUUAGGAUGUUGACAUAAUGGCUUUAAACGACCCGUCUAACC
RNAcentral lists this ribosomal RNA (596 nucleotides) under Cryptococcus sp. YM26064. RNAcentral describes it as "eukaryotic LSU rRNA". It matches the Rfam family "Eukaryotic large subunit ribosomal RNA", at positions 69 to 660 of the family's 3401-position model. The record is from RNAcentral. Lineage: Eukaryota; Fungi; Basidiomycota; Tremellomycetes; Tremellales; Cryptococcaceae.